ACUUCGACCAGCGAGCUCCCUUUUCUCCCCUCGCACCAAUCGCUCCUGUCCCCGAGCCCCUCGCACUCGCUAGGGUUCCCCCACCCCCAUCUUCUGCGACCACCAUGCCGCCGCCCCAUCUUCUGCGACCACCACGCCCGCGCCGAGGGCUCCCCGCUUGGACAUCGUCAGGUUCUGCCGCCGCGGAACCCCGCCAUCACCGCGCGCACCACGCCAACAGAUGAGUUUGCCGGAGCUCACACGCCGGUCGCCACCGAUCAAGAUGAAGAAGGGGCGGGGGGUAGGGUGCACCUGCGCGUCGCGAGCCGCAACUCGUACUCGGCAUCACCAUGUUCGUCGGUCUCUCCAAGGGAAUGCAGUGGCGUCUGCAUGAGGCAUGGCAGAUGUACGUGGAUGCGUGGAAAACCAACAUCCCAGAAUUCAAGAAUCCCUUUGCUCCAUCGAGGACACCAUCACAGGUACGUCAAUCUCUGUCCUCUCCUGCGUUGUCAUUAUAUUAUGCCCGUGUGUGUAGUGCAUAUUGCUCUGACGUUCUAGAAUUUUUGGUAGAUUGUGCGUCUCUUCUUUUCCUGAAAAAUUCUUUGCCUUGGUGAUCGCUUCUAGAUUUAUUCAGCUCAUGUAUCUAUACCAUGUACUAUUUCCUACUAUAGUAUAUAUGGUAUUGAUUGUAAAAAAAGGUGCAUAUUGCAAUUUUAAUGAAGAAUGAAUGAUUGUUUAAAUCAAGUGGAGAAUAAAUGUUCAUUAGCAUAUUGUUAUCUGACACAGACAUAUGCAGUGGGUUUGAUGGCAGGUUGAUUAAAACCAUGGUAAACAAUCGACAUUGAGAAUCGCUGGAUCAAUGUAUUUUGGUGAAUUGGAAAAAAAUCCUUAUAGUCAUAACAGUGAAAAAGGACUGUUAGACAAUUAAUGCUCUUUAUUUAUUUGUUUAUUUUAGUUUCCACACAGGAUGUUCUAAAACAUGUUCGUCUUACCUGAAAGAGCACUGCUAUGCACACGAGUAUCGACGCACGAUCCACAGACGACAAGUCAGGUAGACCAUAGGAUUAACUGGGUUUUUUUUAAUCUGUGUGGCUCCUAAUCCUGUCGAGCGCAAAUCAUCCAGGAGCCAAUCGAGUGCAGAGCACUUUCGUACCUGAAAUGCCUACAUGUUAUGAAGAGAUCUAACAUGUAUCAUGUAUGAAGUAAUAGGUGGAUCAUAUAUAAACCACUAGCAUAUGUAUAUUUCUGAAACCAGUAUUUCAGCUGUCACGUGUCUUUGGCCGACGGCAAAUUGCAAACACAGCAAAGCUCGCUUGCCUUGAGAGAUAUCAAACUUGGGUAGCAGCAUAGCUCGAAUAAGUGUAUAGACUGAUUGACUAGCAACACAUGCACACACAGAAGAUAGCUGAUUGGAUAGCCACUAGCAUGUAAACAUGCAUGUUUAUAUUUCUUCAACACACUGUGAUUGUGAAGUUAUCUCUAUAUUUCUACAAUUCGCUGUUGAUCUUUUAUAGAUGUUCAUCUCCCGACUUUAUCUAUAUUAACUGUUGGUCAAUUUUCUGAAUUACUUGUUGGUGAGAAUUCUUCUGAUGUUGUCUUCUUGGCAUCAUCAUUCAAUCAUAUUUUCUAGACUAUUGAGUUCAGGAAUAUUUGUUGUUGCCUCAAUAUGUUGUAGAUUAUCUUAUUUUAUAGUUUCUUUUGUUGAGUGAAUAUCUCCAAAGUAUCGAACUUACACUGUCUGCUCACAGAGAGGAAAAGAGGGGCUGACUGUAGGAUUCUAAAAUCUUUCUUCACUGCCAAACUUUAGUGAUUGCCCUGCUGGAGAUUGUCAUAUUUUUUUUAAAAGGAAAGCGGAUCCGUACGCCGCCGCUGAUCCCUUCGCCGACGCCGAUCUCGUUGCUACGUCGACGGCAACCAUUUGACGCCGCCGAACCCCUUGCCAUCGAGUGUCUCCUCCAUUAUGAGUGCAAGCAACAGGAGGUGUCCUCUUGGCACAACAACGUGGUCAACUGGUCACUCCUUCAUCGACAGGUUCUUGCGCUUGGUGGAUUACUUCCACGGUUCCACAGUGGGAGGGGACACUCAAGCUACGGUUCAGGCAAUGUCUCCACCCACUCGCAAGUUCAACUACAUUGGCUGAGUGCAAGCAGGAUCUGUAGUAAUACUGAGUACUUACAAACGCAGAAAGCUAUGUCUACAUCUGCACAAGGUAGAAUCACAAUGAACUUGGCCCUUGAUUAUUUUUGUCAUGAGUUGUAUUUCAGUCGAUUGACCUAUGGUCGGAAGUGUGCCUUGUAUACCACACCUUUGAAACUUUGUUAAAUCUGAAUUGUGUGGAUGGCAAGCAGUACAUCAGGCUUUGUUUCCUUUGUACUGAUUUAAUAUACCCGCUGGUUCGGCUGAUUAGUGCUACGCUGUGUGGAUGGCGCAAGCAGUACAUCAGGCUUUGUUUCCUUUUUACUGAUUUAAAAUACAUGCUGGCCCGGCUGAUUAGUGCUACGCUGUAUAAGUUCACAGUGCACUUGCAAUUGCUUAGUAACUGUAGUAGAUGGAAAUGUACCAACAUGUCGUAGUUAUGUUGUUGACUUGCUAUAUUGCUCCUUUUCCUUUUGUAAGGUAUCUCAGACUGUGGGAUUUUUUGUUCAACAUUAGACGAAAUAUUCAGCUCAAUUUUUAUAUUGUACCAUUUGUUUCCCACACUUGUCUUUCGAAUUGUCCAUUUGUUAUUUGGAUUUUUUAGAUUUAACUGUGUAUCCGACAUGCAUAUAAUAAUAAUUUUGUUUAGAUAUUAAAAAUACAAUAUCAUUGUCAGGAACUUCUACAUCCGAUUAUUUCUCAUAUAUUUGGGGUCUGAUGCAGCAAAGGUAAUACCUGCUUUGUGUUUUUAGAUUGAUAACAAUGAAUUAUUCCAGAUGUAAAAGGAAUUACUAAAAUCAACUAGAACUGAUGCUACAUAAGUUUUUUCUUUUCAUAAUUAAAUUAUUUCCCUCUUGAUAAAAAAAUAGUAUUCUAGAGAACUUAGUUCACAAGACAGAAAAGAAGCAAAGGUGUGUUAUGCAACUUUCAAUAAGGUGGAAAUAAACAAGACUAGAGGUGGGGAGAGAGAGAUAGAGAUGUUUUUUUUAGAGAAGAGAGAGAUAGAGAUGUUACACAUGAUUCAUUCCUGAACCACUAGAACUUGUUGUUUUUUCUCUCAUCUGUUGGCCAUGCCCGGCCUUAGAUUGGGCUUGAUUUGUAUUUAUGCGUAACUGUGCACAUUUUGGUCAGCUAUGUGUCAUGUUUAGGCUUUUCUGCGCUGUCUCGGCUGAAAGCCAUUUUUAUCGGAAUGUUGGUUGGUGCAUAUAGUUUUACUGCCAUGUAGAAGAAUGAAGUACGUAAGUGGUAUUUGUUUCUUUGCGUAUGAAACUAGGUGUCUUCGUUACAAGUAAAUCAUUAUAAGAAUGGAAACGACCCUGUUAGAUCCCCAUAAAGGUGGUACCGCAAUAGCCAGGAACGGAUUGAGGUAAUCAAGGGAUGAAUUGGUGUGUGUUAACCAUUUAAUUUGAACAUGGUAUGGCAAUUGUCGCACUCUGUUUCAGUUAGCUGAAACUGAUAGCCAGGAACGCAUCUUUGUAGCACUUUUCUGUUAAAAUUGUAAAUAUACAUUUUGCUUCAAGCAAUUUGCUAGCUAUUCAAGUUGGCAACUAGCUGGCAUCAUGUGGUGUUUCUUUUCCAUGUUAUUAAGACUUAUACAUAACUUAUUGUUUACAUGGUGGUCCAUUAUAACUAUUGUAAACUAAAUUUUUUCAACAAGGAGAUGUCCGCAUAUAACUCCUUCAUAAUUGUUAUUACAUGACUAUAUGUUGUGAAAUCAUUUGUCAUAUGUCUGAUUUUUUUUUUUCAUCACCCCCUUUAGAAAUGAGCUUCUAUUAACUCCUGGUCUUUCAAGUCAUUUUCUGUUCUGCCAAACUUGUGCCUUUUCAGACAGAUCACUAUCAGUGAGUAAACAAUUGUUCAAUUAAAGACUGGUAUUAUGUGCUCUAUAUUGGGAAUUUCAAAUGAAUAGUUCUGACAUAUUUUCUUCAGGAGAUUUUUCCGGAGCUUGAGUAAGCAAUUGUAUCUACUUAUUUUGUUAAAUCAGAUUUGUAGCACCCGAUAUGUUUAGGCAGUAGACUUAUUGGUCCAGAGAAGGAUUCCCAUGAUUCACCAAAAAAUUGUUGUACUAGGGAGUUUGCUUGUUCUGAUAGAAAUAGUAGUAAGGUGUGUAUUUGUACGUAUAACAUGUUUGGUUAGAGAGAGACUUGGAUAUUUCUCCAUCCAUAUUUUACUUGUUCUGAUGUAGACAUGCAAACAAGCCAAGAAAGAUCUCUAUGGAAUAAUGUUCCUGACAAGAGAUGGGGCUUUGUUCCUAUAUUACGAUUUUUGGGACCCUACAUUCUUUUAUCUAUAACAUUUAUGCUUUACGAGCUGCAUUUAUAAAUGGCUUAUAUCAGUGAUAUUAGCUAUGUGUGUGGACGGAUAUACAUACGUGUGAGAUAAUUUGGGGUUGAUAGGAAAUCAUUAUUUUGAUGUUUUGUUAAUUGAAGUUUGAUCUUAUGUUCUAACUGCAAACAUGCAGCUCUAUGGUGCAUUCUUUUAUCUAUAGCAUUUGUGAUUUGGAAAUCAUUAUUUAGAACCAUGGUUUCUUAGGUCUGAUUACUUUGUGCAACAUUACAGAUCAAUUCCUAAUAUUAUUCAAGCAAUCUUAAGUUCAGGACACCACUAUGCUUCCAUAUGCAAUCUAAUGACUUUUUUCUGGUGUAUAUGGAAGGUGGGAAGUGACAAACAUUUUGGAAGAAAAUAGGGACAUCCAACUCAGGUGCAUCAAGCUGCUCAACCUAUAAUGAAAGGGCUUCAGGUAGAGUCCAAAGUUACAGGUUUUAUCGGUCCACCAUUCUGACAGAUAAUCAGGUACUUGCAAGAGCUGCAGAUUCUGGCGAAUUUCAAACCCGGGACAUUGUGAAAUCCAUUCAUAGAUAGGAGAAUACUUCAAUGUUUCCAGGUCUCUUAUGUUAAAGAUAAUCACAUCAAAAGAGAUUUGAAUGGUGUUGCUCAUAACUGUGCAAAGGACUCACUGAAAAAGCUUUGUAUUAGCUACCACAUACUGUAUUAGCUCAUAUGGUACUAUACUGUAUUAGCUCAUCUCAUAGGAGUAUCCAAUGUCCAGUGUUGCUCGCUUUGAGCAACUUUGUAAUCUAUGGAUUUCGUAUCCUUGAUGUAA
Molecule: RNA transcript, 5218 nt
Organism: Triticum aestivum (bread wheat)
Lineage: Eukaryota; Viridiplantae; Streptophyta; Magnoliopsida; Poales; Poaceae
Exons: 3
Source: RefSeq, a predicted model, not a curated record